GUUGGUCAGAGCCACACGGGGGCUGCGACGUGAGGGGAGGCGCUCAGCCUGGGGGCGCUGGUGACCAGCACGUCUUCUGCACAAACUCUGAGCCUUCUCGCCAACGCCUCAACCUCGGCCUUGGACUUGAACAAGCACUAACAUACUUUCUAACAGCUCAAGGCUGCGUUCCUGGGAUGACUCCCGUCCCCUUAAAGUGCUGCCUGGGAAGAACUCAAGGCUGCCAAGAGAAUUCACUGUUUGUUCCAGCCAACACCUGAUGACAGCCACCUGCCACCGCUGCCUGCCUCCCAGCCUCUGGGGGAGCGCAGCAGCCUGACUUUGGUGAGUACCGGGGAGCAAACCCCGAUGGGGUUCACAUGGACUGACCCGCCUUCCCUCCUCCUAUAAGUUUUCACUGCCCUGUCUCUGCUCAAGCCCCUGCUACCCUGCAGUCACCUCCGCACACAUGCAAGGGCUUCAGCUCUUUCCCCAGCUGGCAGCCGUUGCCAAAUAAAAUCCAUUCUCACUGCUUCAGCUAAUCUCUCAUGGUGGGAUGUGUGGUCAGGCAGGAUGUGUGGAUGAAGGGAUGCUGCACCAGGGCCUGGGCAGGCCCCAGCUCAUGCACAGGACACACGGAGUCCAAAGAACAGGAAGACGCUUGAUGAGGGCGGAAAAGCCAGUCUGGAAGGGAAUCGACCUGCUGAAGGAGCACAGUUGUUCUGGAGACCCAACGUGGGCACCGGGGCACUCUUCAAGGAGACAUCCCAUUGCGAACAUCAACGAAACAUCUGGCUAUGUUUGGAGAUCAGCUGCUAAAAAUACCUCCAAAUGCCGAGGCCAGUCACCCAUGUUGGGAGUGUGUCAGACUCUUUCAAUAACACCCUGGCUUGAAGCGUGCAUAUGACAACUCUUGAAAUUCAACCAAUGGUCCAAGAAUGAAGAGCCCAAGGGAAUCCAGGAGCUUCGCCUCUGGCGUCCCCAAGUGGAUGGCAUGCAGUUCCAAGAUGUGAUUGGUCUCCAGUGACCACUUUUUCCCCACUUCGAUGCCCAUAGGUCCUGCCUUAAAGUUCCCAUACGAUUUGAUGAUGUCUCCUGUGGUGGGCUGUGAGCUUCAUGGAAUUCUGGACUCAUGCUCAGCUAGGAUUCCACUGGCCAGUGAGCUUCUUACUACUAGGGUACUGUGUUUAGUACCUGACACACACCAUCCCGUUGAACUCCUCCUCAACCCAAAGGAUCAGGUGUUUGUGUUCCUUCCAUGUUACAGAUGAGAAAAUAGAGGGACCGAGAUUAAAGACUGUGAGUCAGUGGUGCAGCUGUCAUUGGAACGCAUCUCAGUCUGACUUCAGAGAAAAAUAUAUUGUGCAUGGCUUCCCCAUUUUUCCAUAAAUAUCAAUUAAGACAAGUUGGUUGAUGGCAUUGUUCAAAUCCUCUAAUACCCUUGUAAUUUCCUGUCUACUUGUCACAUUAAUUAUUAAGAGGACCUCUGACUGUAAUUAUAGAUUUG
Molecule: long non-coding RNA, 1486 nt
Filed under: Vulpes vulpes (red fox)
Lineage: Eukaryota; Metazoa; Chordata; Mammalia; Carnivora; Canidae
Description: lncRNA (ENSVVUG00000017468.1)
Source: RNAcentral